CAACCUUCUAAAUCACCCUUCAGUUUCCCAAACUCUCUCUUUUUAGCCAGACGCUCUGAACUGAACAACUAGCAAAAUGAACAGGAAACAACAGCUCCUUCCUGCUCUGCAGCCCCACCCUCCUGCAAGGAACUGGCCUUCUGCAGGGCUGGGUUUGGUUAUGGGCCAGCACCAGCUGAAUGGCAUUCCCAUUUGAGCUUGCGUUACUCACUUGUUGCCAUCACAGUUAAGUAAAAGAUUGAGAGAGCCAUUAUCUCAGCUCAAUCCCAGGAAGCAACACCAGAACAGCAGCUCUGUGGCAGUUGAGGUGGAAAUGUUUUUCUGUUCAAUCUGACUUUCACAGAUUCUCUAAAUUUCACAUGCCUGCUCAGAUUUUCAGGAGUUUUUAUGUGACUCACGAAAGCACAGAGUAUAAAUAAUGAUAUCAGUUUGGGAUAUUGGGGAGGAUAUUUGAGGAAGAACCUUAGCUUUUUUUAUUAUUAUUAGCUUGGUUUUUGUUGUUGUUGUUGUUUUUCACUUGAGAGCACCAAACAUUCUCAUAUAAUCUGAAUUCAUCCCAUCUGCACCCUCUACACAUUUGAGACAGGAAACUGAAGAUGGCAUACAGAAUAAAAGUUACCUUAGUUUACUUAGAUAUAUACAUUGUGUUCAUGAACAGAGAUUUCUUGAUAUGCAAGCAUGAAUUACAUGGACAAGAAGCUUUCAACAGCAUCAGGUCUCAUGUGAGCUCAGGCACCUAAGCAGAUGUCCAGAAGUAGAAGGUCUGUCCCGUAGGGAAGCAGAAUCUGUUAGAGGAAGGGAUGGGGCUGUGCUAAAGCCUGGCUCUGUCAGGGAACAUUUGCUUGAAGGGACAUGCACUAACAAAGCAAGGAAAUCAGAAGGGCUCCAACUACUUUCAAACAGAAAAAAUAAAAUUACAGAGAGGAGAACUCAAACUUCAGAGUAUUAAAGGAUUCGUCAGCGUGAGGGAGGAAAGGAGAGAGGGAGGAUGGGGGAAUGGCAUACAUUGAUAGGCCUAUGGAGCAGAAGAGGUAUUAAAACUCUAUACUAAUUUUACUGUGCACGCAUAUCAAAGUUCCCUACGUUAUUCUUUUACCUAUCCUGUAAGAUAGGUAAAGCUGUAUUCCAGGUGAGCAGAGUGGGGUCAUGCCACAUUCUUUGUCCCUUCUCACGGUUCUUGGAAUCCCAUUGCUACAUUCUACCUUCCUGCUGGUUGCUUGGUAUCUUGGUGCUUAAAAAGCCCACGUGGAAGAGCGGUAUUGGGCACUUUAAUAGUAAAUUUCUGGGCUUUCCCCUGCCCAGCAGUGCACUGUUUGCAUGCAUGCCAGAUCUCCCGUUCUGCCGGUAACUCACCACCUGAAAGGUCUGGCUUUCUGCCUGAGCAGCUACAAAGAAUCAGCCCAGCUGAGGUUCAGUUGCUCACACAGUGAAAGAAUGCAGCAAAUACAUAUCUGUUAUUUCUUUUCUGCUAUUCAUUCCACCUGAGCUUCAAGAAACUCUUGCAUUAAAAUCCUAAGAAUAAGUAAGUGUCAAGAUUGACUUUAGGGUCAGUGCUGCCUGUGGCAAUCUUGUUUUAACCAGUAUAGAUUUUCCUCACUUUAUCAUUGUCCUGAGAGGACUUAUGAGUUGUUUCUCUCUCUCUCUCUCUCUCUCUCUCCCUCCCCCCCCCCCCCCCCCCCCCCCCCCCUUUUUUUUUUCACAUCUAGAGGUCCUUGGGAUGUAUUUGGAUUUUCAUAACAAUUUAAAUAAUUUCCUCAAGACCUUUAAAGCACCUCUUUUCACUUACAUAACAGGUAUUCUUUCAAAGGAAUAACCUCAUUCAAAUGUUGUGGCUCAUUCUCAAAAACACUAGUUGUUCCAAUUUCAAGCUAAAUAGUAUUUAGCAUGCACAGUUUUCCUUUCUACUUCAUUUUCUGGCUCAAAGAUUUUAUGUACUUGCUUAGACUAAAGCAUUUUAGAAAAUUUGCUUUCUGUUCAUUCUUUAUCUUUUGUCCUUUUUCUUUCACAGUGCUUCCAAGAGUUGUAACAAUUCGAUGCUGGUCUUGAUAGUCUCUAUAUAUAUUGGUCUCUAUAGUGCUAUCCUUACAAUCAGACCAGAAAGGACCUCAAAAAGUCUCUUGCCCACUGUUUUCCAAAGACAGGAUCAGAUAUGCACUGUUAACCUCGUAGACAGUUUCAGUAAGGAUAAUUACUUUCUGAUGAGCAAGUCAGUAAGUAUUUCUCGCUGGACAAAGUUGUGGAUUAUUUAUUUCUUGCCCUGUUGGUGAUUAUUUUUAGUAGUUCUCAUAUUUCAUCUGCAGAGUGGAUUGGAACUGGUUCGAGGUGGACUGAAUUAUUCCUGCAUACAAAGGGGUUUGAUUUCAUGCCUGGCAGGAAGCAAUAUAAGCUGGAAAGGAAACUUCUUAAGUGGAGGCAAAUGGAGCCUUGCUAUUUCUUCCGUUGUCAGUAGUGAACACAGACACCUCCACCUGCAAGUCUGCCUGAUAGAGCAGAUGCAUGAGUCCAUCCAUGUUCUGUCCCUUUGUCUAUCCAGGACACCAUGCUUUUAACCCAGGUUAUUCUUGUCCCUCUCUGGGGUAAGAGCUAACACCAAUACAAACCUGGUUCCAGGUAUCAUCAUCAUGAUUAAUAAUCGCUGAAUAAAAUCAAGGGACAAUGUAGAGGACAGUAGACAAGUCUCUUAAUGUUGUAGGAAAAGGAUUUGUAGUGCUCCCACACAUACUUGCCAUCCUCCUGGUGACUGCAUCCACCCUGAUAAUCUACAAACAGA
RNAcentral lists this long non-coding RNA (2770 nucleotides) under Gallus gallus (chicken). RNAcentral's name for it is "lncRNA (ENSGALG00010010564.1)". Lineage: Eukaryota; Metazoa; Chordata; Aves; Galliformes; Phasianidae. The record is from RNAcentral.